UUCUUCGAAACAAAACACACAAAAAGCAAGUUUGGGAAGUGGUUGUUCUCUUGAUUCCCAUCGUUCUCCGUGUUUUCGAAUCUCCCUUUUCAAAAAGUUGUUUCCCUUGUUUUUCCUACUGUUCAGAGAACAAAGAAAAAACGGCAUCUCUCCGUGUUUUCAAUUUGGUGUUCUCCGUGCUGUCCCUGUGAUAUUUCCUCCGACACGUCUGCAACCUCCAACACGUCUACUACGAGUCUCUCUACCAGCACAAUACCAAGGUGCGAUUCGCUCAUUUUUUUCUAUCAAAUCCCUCUCAUGGACGCAAAUCCCAGGUGCGAUUCGCCACCCUAGCUUCGCUCUUGUCUAAUUUAUCAUGAAAUUUCUGUAGGGCUUUUAGUUUUCAAGCAUGCUUCUUCUUGGUUACUCUGUUUGGUUUUUGAGAAAAUCUGGAUUUUUUUUCUUGGGGUUUAUAAGAUUUAGGGAUUUUUUUUUCUCCAUAAGGGCAGUGAUUCGCAAGUUCUUGGUAGUUCUGGGUCUAAAAACAAAGUACCAGAAAAGGAGAAAAAACCAGAAAGAGGGAAAAAGUUUCUGAUGUUCAUUCUAGAAAAUACUGAAAGGUUGUGAUGGGUUCUUGUGGUUCUCAUUACCUCUGUUAUGAUAUUGGAUCACAGAUCAGUUUUCGACCCUACCCUUUAAUUUCUGUAUACUCACAUUAUAUACAAGAACUGGUAAAUGCAAUUAAUGAUUGAACUUAAAAUUGCAGUACUGGUAAUAAUCACUUCUGGAUGCAUUUCAAAAUUAACAAGUAUGCAGAAUGGAGUUUCUACAAGGUUUCCCAUUAAAGAUCUUUGGGCACUUCAUUACUUCUUAGGUGUUGAAGUUCUUACCACUGCACAUGGGUUGUUACUUACUCAAGGUAAUUACAUUUAGGAUGUUCUUUCUUGUACCAAAAUGUCUGGUGCUAAGGAAGUUCACAUUUCUCUUUCCACCAACUCCGUUUUAUCUCUCCAUGAUAGUGCAAACCUUUCUGAUGCUACUGAAUAUCGAUAGGUUGUUGGUAGCUUAUAGUACUUGUUUAUUACACGCCCUAAUGAAUUUAUUAUGGAUUACAACUUACAACCCAAUGAAUUUAUUGGGCUGGGCUUGGGAUGGUUGUAAGAAAAUCCCUGCUUUAGAGACUUUGCUUUUGUACCUAAUUUAACUCAAAACCUUUUUGAUUGUGAGGAAGCUUACACAAAAAGGUUUCUUCAUCAGUUUAUUUUGGCAUUGUUGAUGAUAAAAAACAAUCCCACAAUGACCAGACUAUUGUUGAAAUGUCCAUGACUAACAGCCUAUUUGAUUAUAUUUUCUAAAACUUGCUUUCAAAAACUACUUUUAAAUUAAAAAAUAAAAAACAAUUUUUUAAUAUUUUAUAAAAAUAAGGAUCUGUUAGGUUGGUGUUUAUGAGAAAUGUUUUCUAUUCUUCAAAACAAAAAACACAAAAAGCAAGUUUGGCAAGUGGCUGUUGUCUUGAUUCCCAUUGUUCUCCGUGUUUUCAAAUCUCCCUUUUCAAAAAACAACAAAAAGUUGUUUCCCUUGUUUUUCCUACUGUUCAGAGAACAAAGAAAAAACGGCGUCUCUCCGUGUUUUCAAUUUGGUGUUCUCCGUGUUGUCCCUGUGAUAUUUCCUCCAACACGUCUGCCACCCCCAACACGUCUACUACGAGUCUCUCUACCAGCACCAUACCAAGGUGCGAUUCGCUCAUUUCUUUCUAUCAAAUCCCUCUCAUGGACGCAAAUCCCAGGUGCUUAUAGCAUUGGAGUGCUUCACUACAAAUUCUUCCUAGACCAUUUGUACAACUUCCAAGGGAAGUAGGCCUGACCCAAGUAUUAACUACACCACUGGGUUAGGUUCGGCUCAAUUGUUCAAAGGUGGGCUGACAAGGAGAGAAGGUGUUGUAUUCGCUUGUUGAGUCUAUCUCCUGCUAGUUUGCGCUUUAUUCUUUGCUUGUCGCUACCCAAAAUGUCUCUUGUAAUGAUCUGAAAUGUACUAAUACUUGAAUCGUUAUUGUUUUUACAUUUUUGUUUUAGCUACUAGAUUACAUCAAUGGUUGAUACCUUUUCACUGGAUGUAGAUGAACAGAUUUAUGAGUCCCUUUAUUGCCUUUCAUCAA
This is a long non-coding RNA of Vitis riparia (riverbank grape), 2134 nucleotides long. RefSeq lists it as uncharacterized. The record is from RefSeq and is a predicted model, not a curated record. NCBI's taxonomy places the organism in Eukaryota, Viridiplantae, Streptophyta, Magnoliopsida, Vitales, Vitaceae. The transcript has 2 exons.